GGUUGCAUGAAACUUCUUAAGUAAGGGUUUCCCUGAGGGAGAAAAAAUCCCUGAGGUAAGGGAUUUCACUAAGAGCGUUGCAAGAAACCUCUUAACUGUCACCCUUACCUAAGUGUUUAUACUAAGCGUUUCACAGUACUUUCUGACAACAUACGGCAAAGACCGCCGCGGUUGCUAUCGUUACCGCCUCUAACAGUAAACAGAACAUAACGAACCACAAAGCCAAACCCUUGCUAAAAUUACACUUUUAUUAAUAUAAUUGUGCUAUGGAGAGUACAAACGUAACAGAAAACAAAAAACGUAAACCAAACUGGACAGAGGACGAAAAAGCAAUUCUUUUAGAAGAAUUCACAAAAAGAAAAAACAUUCUCCAAAGCCGCUAUAACCCAUCAGUCACUCAUUCACACAAAUCGAAAGCCUGGCAGGAGAUAACAGAAAAAAUAAAUUCAAGAAAUCUUGCUGUCAAGCGAACAGUAGAAGAAGUUAUGAAAAAGUAUGAAAACAUAGUGGUGAGUUCAAGAAAAGAAAUUGCAAACAAUAAAAAAGAAUCUGGAAAGACCGGUAAGUAACGUUCAUGCUCCUGCCUGAUAAAUUGUAUCAAAAAGGUAUCGCGCUUGGUAUGGAACAAUGUUACACCUGUUUUGUUAUGUAAAGGAGGAGGGCCGCCGCCACAAGACCUAUCCGACACAGCGAAAUUGGUACAAGAUAUAUUAGGGAAGGAUUCUCCUACUCUAGUCGGUAUUCCAGGCGUUCCUCAAAGCAGUUCGGGAAGCAGCAUACCUACUCAUAACUGGGAAGAUGUUCGUGUGACAAGCCCGACUCCCAGCAAUACAGCGUCAAGACGUUCGUUUGAGGAAAGAGGAUUAGAAACCACCAAGGCUACAUCAGGGUUGGCUGAACUUCAACGAGAAGUUCUUUUGCUGCAGAAGAGAAAAGCAGAGUUGGAGAUUUCUAAAAUAGAAAUGGAAAAGGAAAACUUGAAUAUGCAGAAUAUAGUUCUGCAAUACAAAAUUAACAAACUUGCUCGAGAUGGAUUAAUAACUUUAGAACCAGUAGGGGAAGAG
Paramisgurnus dabryanus is the source of this 1064-nucleotide long non-coding RNA. RefSeq lists it as uncharacterized. Lineage: Eukaryota; Metazoa; Chordata; Actinopteri; Cypriniformes; Cobitidae. The record is from RefSeq and is a predicted model, not a curated record.